RNAcentral lists this non-coding RNA (5273 nucleotides) under Pan troglodytes (chimpanzee). The record is from RNAcentral. Lineage: Eukaryota; Metazoa; Chordata; Mammalia; Primates; Hominidae.
AGCCACUGUUAUGCAAAGUUCAAGGGCCUCUCUCACACUUAGCUGGGGGAGGAGUGAAUACAGCCUUUCUGAAGAAAGAAAAAUUAAGUAAUAGCAAAAUCAUUAAGUGUUUAUGAUUCAUAAAUACAAUUUUUGUCAACUAAAAAAAUAAAAUAUGUAGAAGUCAAAAAAGUGUCUAUGAUUCAGAAAUGCCACCGUUAGAAGUUGCCAUAAGAGUGCACACAAAAAGGACAUAUGUGUCAAAGUGUUUGCAGCAGUGUUGUCCCAAAUAAGGACAUUUUGCAACAUUGUGGGGUGGUUAAAAUAACUAUAGAAUAUGCAUUAGAAUACAAUGAAACCAUUAAACAUAAUGUGGAAGAAUAUUGUAUAUUAUAGGGAAAUGCUCAUAAUAUAUAGUGACAAUUUAAAAAGCAGAUUACAAAACAAUAUGCCAAGACAUGAUUUCUGCCCAAGUCUGCCCUGAUGGGUGAGCUAACCAAGGUUGCUGCACUGUGAGGGCAUAGGGGCUGCCCCUCAGCCCCCACCCCAGCCACUGGGCUCCUCAGGAAAGGACAUGUGAGUGUUUACUGCACAUCCUACAGAUGAGGAGCUCACAAGGACCCUGGAUGGGGGAGUCCUCUGAGGUUGCUGGAGCUGCUGCAGCCAUCUUGUCACUGCCAGGGGAGAGCUCUCUCUGAGAGUGAAGGCACAGUGGAGGAAAGCAGAACUAAGAAGAGACAGAGAAAGCGAAAGUGGGAGAGAGAGAGAGAUAUGAGGUGACAAAGUGUGGGUCCUUGGAUCCUGCUUGGUGUAAAGCUAGCCUGCUCCUGGGCUUUACAGAUAAUAAAUUCCUUCCUCAUCAGAUUAACCUGGGUUUUUGUGGCUUGUAACCAAAAGGGUCUGCACGGCCCACACACAGGCUCCCAGCUCAUUUCCUUUGCAAUGAGUGGUAACUGGAGGCGGGCGGUGCAUGGACCUGCCUUGCAAGGCUUCUCUGUUAGUGGUGCCUGAAGCCCACUCUCUCAGCUGGCACAGCCAGUGUGACACAUCAGUCCGGGUGUGUCUUGGACCUACCCCCUUUCUGGGUGCAAACCAGAACUGAGGAUCCCGAGGAUGGUGGGGGGGUAGUUUCCUGCCUCAGGGCUGUGCUCCUGCUACCCCUUUGCCUAAAAUUCUCCCCUCUCUGUGCUCCCAGGGCCAGCUCCUCUGUAUGCUCUGUGAUUCUUUGAACAGCGCCCCCUCUGAGAAGCCUUCCCUGACCACCUGGCUGAGGACAUCAUUCUGUCCCAGCUUCCGUUUGCUUUGGGAGUGGCCUCCUGACACUUCACUUCCAUGAGGCAGGGACCAGUUCUGUCCUGGUGACUGCUGUAUCCCCAGCUCUAGAUAAGGCCUGAGACAUUGUAGGAGUGCCAGGGAUCUUUGGUUACUGAGAAAACGAGCAGCUAGAUCAAGGUUCCCAACACCAACACGCUGGGGACAUGUUGGGAGUCAACUUAGCCCUACCAGCAGGUGGAACUAGUUUUGCUGCUCCAAAACAGAGUUCUAGCUAUGGGGACAGCCACUAGACAGCAGAGCUAAGGCCAUGCUAUGCUGAGGGGCCACAGUCUGCCCUGAACUGUGCCUCCCAGCCUGGAGCUAGUGAGGGGGCCGAAUCUGGGAGCUGACAGAUGGGGGCUCGGCGUGGGGACUUUUGGAGGGGAGGGCAUUUUCUUGAUCUUACCAUGGGGACAACAGCUAGAUGGGUGGGGGGGACCCACUCAAGGACAUACUGCGGCUUCAGGCUUCUACGAGCCCAGAACGCUCGCUCCAUCUGAGGGUCUUGAUAUCAGGGUGUGGCGUCAGGAGCCGGAGCCUACGGGUUGAAAGCCAAGAGUGGGCAAUCAAAGCUGAAACCAGGCCCACGACUUAGGAGCUGGAGAGCACACAGGGCUGAACACUCGACUUGGGGACCAGGAAACCAGGGAGCAAAGUCUCCAGGGUGCUUGGGCAAGACCCCAGAUGGUCUGCAGCAACGCACAGGCAACACGGGAUGAUCAGCGCUACGUGGUGAGAAACUUACCUCCUUUUGCAGGACAACAUUUUCCAGUCCUUCUGAGUAAAUCAAAGAGAAGUCUCAGCUUGGUGAUUGCAGGUCUCUAAUGCUUAUUUCUCUGUCUCUGUCUCUCUCUCUUUUAACAAAAGCCUACCAGCGGCCUCAGGCUCAGGGCCUGUCUCAGGUAAAAGCGGGUUAGGGUAUAAUAACAGUGAUCGGUUUCAUUGUGUUUAUUUUUAUAGCUACUUUCUAAUUAUAGCAAGUGAUUCUGAGUUUCCAUUUAGGAUAGUAAUAGGAAGUUUCUUUUUCAAGUAAAUGUGCAUAAGUAAAAGGAGACUGCUCAAAGGAAACCAGCUGGUGAUUGAUAGAACAGGCUGUGGCAUUGUUGGGCCCCAGAGGGAAGGGCAGUGUGAGCAUGCAGGACGUUCUGGGAAGGCAGCUAAAUGCAGUUGCUGCAUGGGGGCCAGGAAGCAUUUGGAGACGUGGCUGGGCACAGCUUGGCUUUUGAGCCCAAGAGAGGCCUGCUGGGGAUGUGUUGAGAGCCAACCUACCCCUACCAGCAGGUGGAACUGGUUUUGCUGCUCCAAAGCAGAGUUCCAGCUAUGGGGACAGCCACUAGAGAGCAGAGCUAAGGGCAUUCUAGGCCAAGGGGUCACAGUCCACCCUGAACUGUGCCUCCCAGCCUGAAGCCAGAAAGCUCAGGGAGGCUAGCGGCCCUGCCCAGGCCUCAGCACUGACCCUGCACCCCCAGGCCCAGCUGGAUGACCCCUAAGAGCUUCCUGGAAUUUGGAUGCAGGGUUAUUCUGUGUGUGCUGCCUCUCAGAGCAUGUCACUUUGACGUGGACAUCUCGGGUCUGGUUCUGGUGCUGUCCCUGUCUCGCCACGUGACCCUGGAUAAGUCAUCUCUCCAGGCCUUGAUUUCCCCAUCUGUAAACAGAGGUGAGUGAAAUGAUCUUUAAAGGUGUGUCAGUCCAUUUUGCAUUGCUAUAAAGGAAUACCUGAGGUUGGGUAGCUUAUAAAGAAAAGAGGGUUAUUUGGCUCACAGUUGUGCAGGCUGUACAGAAGCAUGGCACCAGCAUUGCUUCUUGUGAAGCUUCAGGAAGCUUCCAUUUAUGGUGGAAGGGGAAGGGGAAGUUCGUGACUUACAUGGCAAGAGAGGGAGCAAGAGCCAUGUCAGGCUCUUCUAAACAACCAGCUCUCAUGUAAACUAACAGAGUGAGAACUCAUUCAUUACCACGGGGAGGGCACCAAGCCAUCCAUGAGGGACCUGCCCCCAUGAGCCAAACAUCUCCCACCAGGCCACACCUUCAACACUGGGAGUCACAUUCAGCAUGAGAUUUGGAGGUGACCACCAUGCAUCCAAACCAUAUCAAGGACCCAUUUCGGUGAGGGGACCAGGAACAUAUCCCUUCCCCUCUCCUCCACAUCCUUUAAUGUGGGGCUCAGCAAGGAAAGUAGGGCUUGGGUCAAAUUAAAGCCUGGGCUUAAUUUCCUGGUCCAGUUAUUAGCUGUGUGACCCUGGGCAAGUCACUUAACCCCCUCAGGUUACAAUGUUACAAAUGAUCCCAUUUUCCUCAACUGAAAAAUGGGAUAGGAACAUGUCCCAAGCAGAGCUGGAGUGACGGUGCUAUCAAUGGCCCGGCAGUGCCUGGUCACACAGUAGGCCUGGGGAGCCCUGACUUUUACCGCACAGGGAGCUGCUUGCAGAGCUUGUUUUCAAUUGUGGGCUUGGCAGGGAACUGCCGGCAUCCCAGGGGACAGGGUCUCAUGAGGAUACCUAAUUCCAGCUCAAAGUGGAGACCCCAGGACUCCAUCACAGCCAGUGGGGGGGAGUGGCUGCUGCAGCAGGGAGGGCUUCAUUGGAAUGAACCCCUUUAAGCUUCAGUCCAAAUGCCCAGAGUGGUUUUGCAGGUAUGGUUGUGAGGCUGGCAUGGUAGUCCCAUCUGCAGUCCCCUGGGAUGAGGCACCUGUACGGUAGAGGGCCCGGGUGGAGAGGAGAGAAGAGAAGGAUGGGGAUGAACCCAGGACCACAGACGGCCCAGUUCCAUGGAUGAUUUUCACUGAGGUGCCUUCAAGUCAGUUCAACACUGGGCUUCUCAACCUUUGAGGUAUGCAGGUAAGAGUCACCUGCGGCAGUGGGGGAUGCUCUUGUUAAAGUGCAGACUCCGAUUCAGCAGGUCUAGGGUGGGGCCUGAAAUUCUGUGUUCCUAACAAGGCUCCAUCUUGGGUAUGGAGGUCAGGUACCCCCUCACCUCUCCUGUGGACCCAGCUUCUGAGGGGUCAGGAGAAGAAUGUUCAGUCCCAGCUGCCACCACUCUAAAGUCCCCUAGAAACAAGGACUAAUACAGGUGGCGUGGGAGAGGGCCCAGGCAAACAGGGAGGUGGGGUACCCCGGUGGGGCUGCAGUGGGCCCCGCGGAAAGCUUGCUGGAGGUGGGGGCCUAAGGAAUUCAAGGACUUGUUCCAGGAACCCAAGGAACGAGUGGGCUCUAACUGCUGCAGCAUAUGGGAGAUGCCAGGAGGAGCUGGCUGUGGCAGGCCAUCCCAGGCCAUCAGACAACUUGUAGUGGAUGAAGAUGCAGUGUCCAUGGCCAGAAGAAACUCCCAUGGAUGCUCAGGCCAAGGCUGCCAGAAGCACGAGGAGGGGCAGCAUUGAGUGUCAUCGGGAAGAGGCAAGGUGAUGGUCCUGAAGCUGCCCCAUGUGGCCAGUCCCUUUUUGGGAAGCCUGAAUAAAUCCAUUUCCUGUGCACUGUGUGGGAAGCCCGCCCCCCCCAACACCCCACACAUAUCAUCUAUCUGUGAUUUUGAGAUGACUUUUUUUUCACAUUUCAGCACCUCUGAACUCAACAGGAUCCUACACUUCUUGUAGGCCUGGCUUGAUGCUGACAUCCUUCAGCCCCAGGGAAGACCUAAAGAUCUCCAGGUCUUGAGGCACCUGGAACACCUCCACCUGAGACCACUUUAACAUGAUUUCUCUGCUUGAGGGAUUUUGGCCCAUGCUGUGUGUAUUCAGCCCUAAAACAUGGGUGAGUGCCCGCUUGCAGUUCAAAUUCUCAGAGGAAGUUCCCUGUACUCCACUCAGUGCCAAGUUUAGUUUGUGCAAAUUUCCUUAAUGUCCCCUCCUGUACAACAGGCUUAUUUGGUGUUAACCCUCAUAUUGGGGGUCUAACUCUUCGGUUUUCCAGCUUUUUUGCUGGAAUAUCCCAUUAAACUGUCCAUGUUGGGUAUUUUUUCUUUGUUAGUAAACAUUUGUUGCAUAUUGU